UGCUUCAAUAGGUGUGAUAGAGAAC
This 25-nucleotide non-coding RNA is filed under the name Mus musculus (house mouse). Lineage: Eukaryota; Metazoa; Chordata; Mammalia; Rodentia; Muridae. The record is from RNAcentral.